GGGUGAGAGCCCCGUCGUGCCC
This 22-nucleotide non-coding RNA is filed under the name Arabidopsis thaliana (thale cress). Lineage: Eukaryota; Viridiplantae; Streptophyta; Magnoliopsida; Brassicales; Brassicaceae. The record is from RNAcentral.